CGCACCUUCAGUGUACAGCACACCCCGAGGGUCGCUACAAGAGCCCACCCCAACCUUAAUGUCUGGCUAUCCCUGGGUAUUGGUACCAGGACUUCCUAUAUCCAAUAAUUCUUCCCAACUGUCGGUACAAGCACCUCCUACACCCAAUAACUCCCCCCAAGGGUCAGUACACGGAUCCAUCACGCCCUCUCUUUCCGGCUAUCCUUGGUUACCAAUACCAGUACCUCGUACACUCUAUAUCCCUUCUCAAAUGUCGGUUCAAGGACCUUCGACGCCCAAUAACGCCUCCCAAAUAUCAAUACAAGAGUCCGCCAUGCCCUCAGUGCUCAGCACUCCCCGGAAUUCGUUACAAAUACCUCCUGUACCAAAUAACACCCCCCGAGUGUCAGUACAAGAGCCCGCCCCGUUCUCAGCGCCCGGCUCCCCGCUGGUAUCUCUGGAAGGAUCAGCUCCGCCCCCAGGCGCUCCCCGAGUGUCAGCACCAGAGUCCGCCCCGCCUUCAUUGCCCUACCCCUGGGUAUCAUUAGAAAGAUUGGCUCCGCCCCCGGACGCUGGGCUAGAGGGGGUAAAAGGGUCCGCCUGGUCCUUGGCGGUCCCCACUCUUAUACCCACGCCUCCGCCUCCGGAGAGUUCCAACCAAAGCAUGGCGAGUCGGGAGAAAGCGAGUACCGCAGGCCACAUGUUCGACGUAGUCGUGAUAGGAGGCGGCAUCUCAGGUCAGUGUGCACCAUAGCAGUGGCCUGAGGGUCCCUGGCCUG
This 758-nucleotide long non-coding RNA is filed under the name Marmota monax (woodchuck). The record is from RNAcentral. Lineage: Eukaryota; Metazoa; Chordata; Mammalia; Rodentia; Sciuridae.